Molecule: ribosomal RNA, 468 nt
Filed under: uncultured bacterium
Lineage: Bacteria
Description: partial 16S ribosomal RNA
Rfam family: Bacterial small subunit ribosomal RNA
Source: RNAcentral
GACGAACGCUGGCGGCGUGCUUAACACAUGCAAGUCGAACGGAAAGGCCCUGCUUUUGUGGGGUGCUCGAGUGGCGAACGGGUGAGUAACACGUGAGUAACCUGCCCUUGACUUUGGGAUAACUUCAGGAAACUGGGGCUAAUACCGGAUAGGAGCUCCUGCUGCAUGGUGGGGGUUGGAAAGUUUCGGCGGUUGGGGAUGGACUCGCGGCUUAUCAGCUUGUUGGGGGGGUAGUGGCUUACCAAGGCUUUGACGGGUAGCCGGCCUGAGAGGGUGACCGGGGACAUUGGGACUGAGAUACGGCCCAGACUCCUACGGGAGGCAGCAGUGGGGAAUAUUGCACAAUGGGCGGAAGCCUGAUGCAGAAACGCCGCGUGCGGGAUGACGGCCUACGGGUUGUAAACCGAUUUCGCCUGUGACGAAGCGUGAGUGACGGUAAUGGGUAAAGAAGCACCGGCUAACUACGUG